Molecule: ribosomal RNA, 741 nt
Filed under: uncultured Gammaproteobacteria bacterium
Lineage: Bacteria; Pseudomonadati; Pseudomonadota; Gammaproteobacteria
Description: bacterial SSU rRNA
Rfam family: Bacterial small subunit ribosomal RNA
Source: RNAcentral
GGCGGUAUGCUUAACACAUGCAAGUCGAACGGAAACGAUACUAGCUUGCUAGUAGGCGUCGAGUGGCGGACGGGUGAGUAACGCGUAGGAAUCUGCCUGAUAGUGGGGGAUAGCCCGAAGAAAUUCGGAUUAAUACCGCAUAAUCUAUUCGUAGUAAAGUGGGGGACUUUCGAGCCUCACGCUAUCAGAUGAGCCUGCGUAAGAUUAGCUUGUUGGUAGGGUAAAAGCCUACCAAGGCGACGAUCUUUAGCUGGUCUGAGAGGAUGAUCAGCCACAUCGGGACUGAGACACGGCCCGAACUCCUACGGGAGGCAGCAGUGGGGAAUAUUGGACAAUGGGGGCAACCCUGAUCCAGCAAUACCGCGUGUGUGAAGAAGGCCUGAGGGUUGUAAAGCACUUUCAAUUGUGAAGAAAAGUUAGCGGUUAAUAACCGUUAGCCUUGACGUUAACUUUAGAAGAAGCACCGGCUAACUCCGUGCCAGCAGCCGCGGUAAUACGGAGGGUGCAAGCGUUAAUCGGAAUUACUGGGCGUAAAGCGUGCGUAGGCGGUUUAUUAAGUCAGAUGUGAAAGCCCCGGGCUUAACCUGGGAACUGCAUUUGAAACUGGUCAACUAGAGUAUGGUAGAGGAAAGUGGAAUUUCUGGUGUAGCGGUGAAAUGCGUAGAUAUCAGARGGAACAUCAAUGGCGAAGGCAGCUUUCUGGACCAAUACUGACGCUGAGGUACGAAAGCGUGGGUAGCA